UCGCUUACGCCGACCGCGUAAC
This 22-nucleotide microRNA is filed under the name Macacine gammaherpesvirus 4 (Rhesus lymphocryptovirus). Its description in RNAcentral is "rlcv-miR-rL1-31-5p". Its record names the gene rlcv-miR-rL1-31-5p. Lineage: Duplodnaviria; Heunggongvirae; Peploviricota; Herviviricetes; Herpesvirales; Orthoherpesviridae. The record is from miRBase by way of RNAcentral.